CCUGCAUUUUAUCAGAUCAUUUCCUGCACAUGAAAGAACUGCUUCAUUCAUCACCAGAUCCUUAUAGUUAUCGAAGCGGUAAGAGACUUUGAAUGCUCAGAUAUGCCCCCCACUGAUCCAGUCUGCUUUUACUCAACCACAGAAACAUACACUACCUGUUGGAAAUACUUCUCAGCCCCUCAUCUGGGCACCAUGCCUCUCCCUGCCUUAGCUGGUGUGCUUCAAUGUGGGGCGUGGAUAUACAAUGAAGGUCCUUCUUGAACAAACCAGCCACAGAGACCAGCCUGCACAGCGCAGCAGAUCAGCACAAACAGCCAGCUCGCAGGGCCUCUUAAUGUAUGCAGUGAGAUGGAAACUAUAAUGGAGAGGGUGACAGUGUGGAAAAAGGAGGUGAAGGGCAGCUGAAGACGACACACCACAUCCCCUGGCUUCCCCAGGAAAAACAGCAGACUG
This is a long non-coding RNA of Oreochromis aureus, 453 nucleotides long. RefSeq lists it as uncharacterized. NCBI's taxonomy places the organism in Eukaryota, Metazoa, Chordata, Actinopteri, Cichliformes, Cichlidae. The transcript has 4 exons. The record is from RefSeq and is a predicted model, not a curated record.